UCUUGGUGGCCAUUUCAUAGU
RNAcentral lists this unclassified non-coding RNA (21 nucleotides) under Mus musculus (house mouse). RNAcentral's name for it is "oocyte_clustered_small_RNA6011". The record is from RNAcentral. Lineage: Eukaryota; Metazoa; Chordata; Mammalia; Rodentia; Muridae.